GACGAACGCUGGCGGCGUGCUUAACACAUGCAAGUCGAACGGAAAGGCCCUGCUUUUGUGGGGUGCUCGAGUGGCGAACGGGUGAGUAACACGUGAGUAACCUGCCCUUGACUUUGGGAUAACUUCAGGAAACUGGGGCUAAUACCGGAUAGGAGCUCCUGCUGCAUGGUGGGGGUUGGAAAGUUUCGGCGGUUGGGGAUGGACUCGCGGCUUAUCAGCUUGUUGGUGGGGUAGUGGCUUACCAAGGCUUUGACGGGUAGCCGGCCUGAGAGGGUGACCGGCCACAUCGGGACUGAGAUACGGCCCAGACUCCUACGGGAGGCAGCAGUGGGGAAUAUUGCACAAUGGGCUGAAGCCUGAUGCAGCAACGCCGCGUGCGGGAUGACGGCCUUCGGGUUGUAAACCGCUUUCGCCUGUGACGAAGCGUGAGUGACGGUAAUGGGUAAAGAAGCACCGGCUAACUACGUG
Molecule: ribosomal RNA, 468 nt
Filed under: uncultured bacterium
Lineage: Bacteria
Description: partial 16S ribosomal RNA
Rfam family: Bacterial small subunit ribosomal RNA
Source: RNAcentral